UACGUAGGGGGCUAGCGUUGUCCGGAAUCAUUGGGCGUAAAGAGCGUGUAGGCGGUCCGGUAAGUCCGCUGUGAAAGUCGGGGGCUCAACCCUCGAAUGCCGGUGGAUACUGUCGGGCUAGAGUACGGAAGAGGCGAGUGGAAUUCCUGGUGUAGCGGUGGAAUGCGCAGAUAUCAGGAGGAACACCCAUAGCGAAGGCAGCUUGCUGGGACGUUACUGACGCUAAGGCGCGAAAGCGUGGGGAGCGAACAGG
Molecule: ribosomal RNA, 253 nt
Filed under: uncultured bacterium
Lineage: Bacteria
Description: partial 16S ribosomal RNA
Rfam family: Bacterial small subunit ribosomal RNA
Source: RNAcentral